AUCAAAUCUCUACCUCUUUCUUGCUGCUAAAACGAGGUGCUUUCUUCCUAGAUUUUUGCAGGGACCACUGAUACACACACUCUCUGGAUACAGACACACUCACACACACACCGACGCAGUGUAAACUCCCACAGCGUCCUGGCUCCCUCCUUCCAACACUUCCUCCUUCCCGCUCGUAAGAAUUGCUGAACAUUUUGCUCCAAACUCUCCAAGUCACCCACGUGUUUGUUCUCCCCUUUUGCUGUUCAAUUUACUUCCCGACUUGACAAAGAGAAACUCAGUUGUUUCUCAGGCUUUUAGCUGCAAUCCGGGGACCAGGCUGUCUUAUCCACUCCCCGCGCCGUCUCCAGUCAGAACUGCAUGGCUGACCCCUCCUCACUCUGGGAUGCAGAAAAGGCAGACUGCACUUAGUGAUGGGAGAUACAUAUUACAACAAACUAACAAGCACAGCAUGAUUGCUAUGUUUGUAGUAGUCUGACAAAGGACCUCGGCCUAUUACCCUGGUGAACUAUGAAGACGAGGGCAUUUGGUGAGGCUGCAGUUCUAUACAACUUAUCCAUCAUCUCACACUGCCUUGACUGCAAAAGGAACAGAAACUGCAGUGUUUGACUCCUUGCUGAAGAAAACAAACUCACCCCAGGAAAAUGAUCAAAAAAAGCUAAAGUGAAACAAUGAUUAUUCUCUUUUAUGCUUUUGUUGAUGAGUCACCUCAUUUGUAACCAUUACCCCAGCUUAGUCUAUAUUAUUUAAAUCCCUUCUUUUGCCUAAUCUCAUUUGCUUCCAUCCAUACUGAUUUGCAUUGUUUUCUCUUGAGACACUUCGCAAAGGAAAAUGGUUGUGCUUUGAUCUACUCGUGUUCUUUCUAUAAUCUAGCAGAGACCUUAACACUCAGUACAGCACUUUACUGUCACACAAUUAUGCCAUCAUCUAUUACCAUCGAUAUUUUUUUUCCAGAGAAACUGUUCUGCAUCUCUGAAAUUUCUGGUGCUUCUUCAAUGAUCAUGAGCAAUAAAACAAUAAACUGAAAGAGGAAAUAGAAAAUUCAAACACAAAUUCAAUAAAAAGAUCGCAUUUUCCUCCCUCUCCACACAGCUACAUUCCCUCCUCUGACAUCUGAUGUAUUCACUCAUAUAAGUCUGCAUUUUACUUUUGUAUUUUCCUGAGGUCUCAUAAAUAUGGGGGUGGGGGGAAGCUGAGUUGUCCUGUUUUCUCCACUAACCCCAAAGUAUUUUGUACUCUCUCCUGAGAAAUAACAUGUGAUCCUCAAAGUGCACUGAUGUGGCAAGCUAGGGAAAUAGCACAGGAGACUGGCCUGGCUUAGCACACAGGUCACUGUACCUUUGUGAACAAAGAAUAGGACUGAAGGAGAUGGCAGGAAGUUCAGUCCCCACCCCACCCCCCAGGUAAGAAGAUAUACUAGUCUCCCUUUAAUUUCCACAAGUUGUUCUGUGUCUUAUAAUAACAAAUGAACUGCUAUUAUUUGUAUAUUUGCACAAAUAUAAGACUAUGCCUUGGAUUUAGAAAUUCUAAUUGAGAGAAGAAAGAACACAGGUUAUGGUUUAGAAGUGAGGUGCCCCUCAAAAGUUCAUGUGUGAGAAUGCAAGAAAGUCUAGAGGGAAAAUGAUUGGGUUAUGAGAGUCUUAACCUAAUCAGUACAUUAAUCCACUGAUAGGGGCUAACUUGGAUGGUAACCAUAGGCAGGUAGGGUGUGUCUGGAGGAGGUGGGUCAUUGGGGGCAUGGCUUUUUGAGGUAAAUGUAUUGUUGCUGGUUUGUAGAGCCAACCUGGUUCCAGGUCUUAAACUACUUUCCUCUACCUCACUUUUCUGCCAUGAUUUUUCUCUUGGCCCCAGAGCAACAAAGUCAGCCAUUCAUGGACUGAGACCUCUGAAACUGUGAGCACCAAAAUAAACUUUUCCUCCUCCAAUUGUUCUUUUUCAUUAUCUUUGGUCACAGCAGAAAAAAAAAAUGACUAAAAUAUAUAUUAGAAUAUCAUUGUAUAUUUCUCUUUUAUUUUUAAUUGUAGCAAGAACACUAAACAUAAGAUCUGCCCUCUUAUCAAAUGUUUAAGUGCGCAAUACCUGUUGCUGAUUAUAGGUGCACUCGAAAGGAUCUUUAGAGCCUUUCAUCCUGCCUAAUCUGUAACUCCCCACUUCUCCCUCCCUCCAGCUCUGGUAACCACAAUUCUACUCUUUCAUUCUAUGAAUUUGACUAUUUUGGACAA
Non-coding RNA from Ictidomys tridecemlineatus (thirteen-lined ground squirrel), 2222 nucleotides. The record is from RefSeq and is a predicted model, not a curated record. Lineage: Eukaryota; Metazoa; Chordata; Mammalia; Rodentia; Sciuridae.